Molecule: ribosomal RNA, 2148 nt
Filed under: Triticum aestivum (bread wheat)
Lineage: Eukaryota; Viridiplantae; Streptophyta; Magnoliopsida; Poales; Poaceae
Description: partial small subunit ribosomal RNA
Source: RNAcentral
AUGAUUUCUGCUUCUACUCAUGCUGGAACAAAUAGCAGGGAGUGCACCAUCCAAUCUGCUCUGCACAGCUCUUUUGAACAAUGUGAAAGGAGGGUUGCAUGGACUCUCGGUUUUGUGAGGAAAACAAGUGAUCUUAGGCCCCGCCUUAUGCACAAGUUUCAGUUUCUGUUACCACCCGACACACCUCGAGCAGUACAGCUUUGGUCUGAACUACAAAUUGUGGAAUUUAGUGAGCAUCACUUUAUUAUUCAUAUGCACAUCAGUGAGUUAGCUAGUCGCUUUUGUUUUGAGAAAUUGUGGAGCACUGGAGAUUGGUCGCAUCUCGUACUGGUGUGUACUUCUGUGCGGGGGAUUCCUAUUAAUGGAAAAAUGCUGGGAACAAUACAGAUUAUGAGUAUCUUGGUGCUUUGGCAAUUUUGGCGUCAAGAUAAAUUUAAGGGGAGUGGACGAUGCAGACCUGAACAAUUAUCUGUUGUGCCAGGAGCUAGAAUUCAGUUAGUUGUACUAAUCAGUUUUGAGUACUGCCACUUCAAGUUUCAACCAGAUUGGAUACUAUUGAUCAGGCCACCUGUGCAAGAGCGAACAUCAGAGGUCAAAUUUCCAUUGAUCAUGGGCAAAUGUAUUCUUAUUUGCUUGAAGAUUCAAGACAGGAUUAUCGUCACUCUAAUCAUACUCGGUAAGUGUAUCCAUCCAUCAGCUGCACCUUUUGAGCGGUAUCAUAGUCCCUUGUCCUUGGAGCUGAUCAGCCAUGUCGUAAUCAUCAAACUGGUUUUCUGGGCUUGGAUUACAACUUGUGUUGUGAUGGAGGUGGACCCAAUAGCAAGUACUGCAGCUUGGGAACAUUUUUGUUGUCAGAAACUGAUAUCAACAUGGUCCUAUCAUUUAUUAUUGGAUUACAAGUUUGAGCGGAUAAUCAAGCGAGCACAUCUUGCAUAUUUGGGAAUGGUGGACUCCAGUCCUGCCAGAAUGUGUAUCCCCACUAUACUUGAAGAGGAUGUUCAGUGCAAAAUGUUUAUGGAUCCAAGUCUUGACUCAGUAUAUACCAUUGGAAUUGAAUGCUCAUAUUUUCCAUGCCAUAUUUUGAGCGGGUUACCAUGGCAAGCAUCUGAAUUAGAUGUCCGACCCAAAGUAGCAUACUACAGUACCAUUGUACAUCUGGCACUAUAUCUUUACCAACCUUGUCAUACAGAAAUAAUGAAGAAUUUUGUUAUGACAUUGGGGCAACAACACAUCAGCAAUUCUUUCUAUGGCUUGUCUAGUUCCAACGGCAGUUCGGCAAAGAAUCUUCCAGUACUUGAGGUGUGCAGAGCUAUGCCCUAUGAGCUUAUGCCAUAUCUGGAUUGUUGGAUGGAAAUCUUCCACUCACAGAUUGUUGUCUAUAUAGUCUGGUGCUCCGUAUUUUUGCUCUGUUCUGAUCAUUUGCUCAUGAAUGCUACUGAUCUGUUAGAGUCUGGCACGGGAAUAUACCGGUCGGGCAGGUCUUGGGACCCUGGAGGGCUUGCAUUGUUGUUGCUAAGGAAAUUAACUCGGCGGAAGAUCUUUCAUGGAGGAAGGUGCGCCAUGAUCUUGGUUGCCCGCUGUGUUGUCGCCUCCCCAGCUUCUACUCUUCAACCGUCGACAAUUAUAAGGGCGGAGGUAAUCAGCAAGAGAGCACAGGCCAUGAGUGCUAUGGUGCUCUUUACCUGCUCCGAUCAGGAACAUUCUCAAGGAGGGAGAGGUGUCAGCGCUCUCGCUGUCCGCUUCACGCAAGGCUCCGUCGACCACAAGUACUACAUCGGCUUUAACAACGACUACUUCGUCGACAACUCUUUCGGAUGGGUCGCCAUCAUCCACUACUACCACGUCGUUCAAGUCAACACGGCCUUCGACUGCCACCACGGCUUCGAGCUAUUCAAGGACCAUCAAGUGCAAUGGGAUCCAUGCGGGCGUCGGCUUGGGGUCAAGCCGACUUUCAAGGAGGGGGGGAUGUUAGGAGCCUCCCCUACAAGUACAUGGGCCUGCCCCUGGACGUGCACUUGGGCCUGGGCCAUGCUGGACUACCUCUACUACAAGUACCCUGGAGUAGGCAACAGGGAAGGCCAUCCAGUGGAUCACGGCUACGGCGGCUCGUCUCUUAUCCCCUUCCUCCUCUCUUGCCACGAACCCUAG